RNAcentral lists this long non-coding RNA (2133 nucleotides) under Coffea arabica (coffee). RNAcentral describes it as "long non-coding RNA (CARA_LNC005691)". The record is from RNAcentral. Lineage: Eukaryota; Viridiplantae; Streptophyta; Magnoliopsida; Gentianales; Rubiaceae.
AAAUUUCAAAUAAAUUACUCUCGAGCCUUGAGUUUGCUUUCUGGUUCACAGCUACCCCCUGAGAUAAAUUUAUAACUCUAAAAUGAAGAUACAAUUUGUAGAUAAUCACUUAUCAUUUUUUACCUUAUAAUUUAAACUUAUUAAAGUCAAGUUUUGGCUUUAAAAUACAAGAUAUAAUAUAUCUAACCUUUUCUUAAAUUUUAUCUCGAAACUUAUCAACUUUAUUAUUUUAAACAAAGAAAUAUACAUAUUUUUCAAGUUUAUAAUUUAUAAAAUAUUUAAAUUAGGAUUAAACCGUUUUCCAUCCAAGAUUCUAAUAUUAAAGCUUAGGAACACUCCAUUGGUUCCAUUUUAACUAAUUAACUUUAAGCCAUUUGUAACUUAGAUUUUAUUUCUCUACACUAGUCCUUCAAGUCUUAAAAUCUUUAAAAUGAUGGUGAGGACAAGAUUAGUUGAUUUGAAGCGAUGUUAUGUAUAUAACUAUAACCAGUUACUUUAGGGUUUCCAAAAAUGUCAUAGAAAGGUUUGCUAGCUACCGUUUUAGUCAAUAUCUAAGUUUCGGCAAUAUACUUCCUAAAUUCUGUUAAUAUUUCAUCUUUUACUUAGCUAAAUCAUUAAAUACUUGAUAUUCAUUCUGUGCCUGCCUAAACUAGAUCAAACAACAUGUACCCUCAACACAUAAUUCCAACAAAAACAACAAUAAAUUCAGUCCUCAGCUAAAUGCAAAUUCCUAGUAGCUAGGCAGUCAAUUACAAGAUUGUUUUCCCCCCAUCUUCUUUACUUUCCUCCUCCUAACUCGACAUGCUGGGAGUAAUUAUCCAACUACAGAGCAUCGUAAGCAAGAAUAUAUGUUGACAGCCAAAAAUGAAAGAACAAAGCUGAACCAAGUCUUAAACUCCCUCUCGGCUAGAGUGAAAAGAAACUCUUGCAGCAGAUUGAGCUCAUUCUUCCUUCAAUGUUCACUUUAGUUUCAAUUCAUUUCUAUCUUACUUGUUGAAGUUAAGAGACUUAUGACAUGCUACAGUUCUAUACGUUUGUCUAGAGAUUAAAAUUUGCGAAGGAUAACCAGAGUUUCCUCUUUUCUCUUUCGGUUGCGGUCACUAAAUUUCCAGCAAAACAAUAGUUCAUCAUUUGACAUUUUCUCACCUUUUCUUUCUCAGGUUUUGGUCUCAAUCACUCAUGCAGAGGAUACUUAAUUUGUUGCAGGUUAUCCUAAGCUAGAUAGGGUAGUUCUUGACCAAAAUUUCUGAGGAAAACUGAAUAAAAUUACAAGUCUGCACAAGCCUGCUACAUCUAGUGCAUAGCAGACUGCACCAGGUUACUUUCAUGCCCACAGUUCCAAUUCUUACAACUCCUACGGUUAAUCCUUCUUUUAUUACUUAAAGUGGACAUAAUCAUGCUUUCCUAGCUGUAGUUUCCAUUUUCUAAUAACUAGCCACAUAAUUAGCACUUAUCUCUGGGUUAGAAGUCAGAACUUUCUCUUAGCGGACAGUUGAUUCUAAACAAAAUUUCUCCCGCAACAGCACUUAGUUUUUCUUGGCUAGAUUCCAGCACCCACAACAUGCAAAUUCAAAUAUACCAGAUGAUUAAGAGGUUAUAUACAAAUUUCCAUCAUUCAUGGAUUAAAAUCCAAGCAACAGUUUUCAGUUUCUUCCAAAUCUGUCCAACAGCUUGAUUUCCUUCAAACAAGAUUUCACCUUGUCUAAGAGUCCAUUUCUUUACUAAGUUCUCGUGCAACUAAUGUGAUUUUUCAGUUACACCGAAUAAAUAGAAAAUAGGUGCAGGUUCUUACCCUUUUCUCCUAAGAAUUCGAUGUUGCAGGCUGCUAAAAUUUCUGAUUCUGGUUCCUCACUCUUAGCUCUAGUUUCCUUUACCUUCUGACAGUAUUCUCUCGUCUUUGUUUGGCUGGUGAUACAGCUUGCUAAUCCUUUUUUCCUCACACUCAGUUUCUCACCCUCGAUCCUGUUUUUGUAAGAUGCAAGAAAGAAAGAAAGAAAAGAAGUCUGUCUACUUCACUCCUUUGAUCACCACCCAAAUAAUGAGCCUACUGUCUAGUUACUUCCUCUUGGUUGUUUUGUAGAGUUUUAAUGUAAGAAAGACAACAAUGCUACCUAAAUCCUCUUGCUUUCGGUU